AACUUUUAACAAUGGAUCUCUUGGCUCCGGCAUCGAUGAAGAACGCAGCGAAAUGCGAUAACUAGUGUGAAUUGCAGAUUUCAGUGAAUCAUCGAGUCUUUGAACGCACAUUGCGCCCCUUGGUAUUCCUAGGGGCAUGCCUAUUCGAGCGUCGUUU
RNAcentral lists this ribosomal RNA (157 nucleotides) under ascomycete sp. Vega379. Its description in RNAcentral is "5.8S ribosomal RNA". It matches the Rfam family "5.8S ribosomal RNA". From Rfam's summary of the family: 5.8S ribosomal RNA (5.8S rRNA) is a component of the large subunit of the eukaryotic ribosome. It is transcribed by RNA polymerase I as part of the 45S precursor that also contains 18S and 28S rRNA. Lineage: Eukaryota; Fungi; Ascomycota. The record is from RNAcentral.